GUCCAACUGACGAGUCCCAAACAGGACGAAACGUGCAUCCUGGAU
Molecule: non-coding RNA, 45 nt
Organism: Schistosoma mansoni
Lineage: Eukaryota; Metazoa; Platyhelminthes; Trematoda; Strigeidida; Schistosomatidae
Source: Rfam